UGCAUUCACUACUGUAAGUUGCUCUGGAUAAGAGCGUCUGCUAAAAGACCAAAA
Salmo salar (Atlantic salmon) is the source of this 54-nucleotide non-coding RNA. The record is from Rfam. Lineage: Eukaryota; Metazoa; Chordata; Actinopteri; Salmoniformes; Salmonidae.